AACUUUUAUCUUCUAAAUCCAAGAUUUCUUGUGCUUCUCUCUGGGACAGUAAGGAAGAGGACCAUGAGAGAAAUAUCUAAGAACUAUUCUCUAGGAAAAGGAGGCUGAAACAAGUUCAUGUUUAGAAACAGUUUGGACAAAUACCUCUUCGAUUCACCAGCAUAUGAGAAGGAAGUACAGUGCAAUCAAGCUUAUUAUAUAGCCCAUCUCCAUAAAGAGUCUCCACAUCUUUUUUACAUCGUGAUGACCAAAAUCCUUUUGCGCUUCUGAAGAGACCAGGUAUACAGUCCUCUUGCAGCCUAAGCCAAAAUGGCAACUGACAACAGUUUCCAGAGAUCAAAAACGAAAGGAUAUACUUGCAGUAGCUAAAAUGAAUCAGUAGGAAAUCUGGGGAUCCCUUUGUCAUCAACUAUAGUGUCAACCUAAAUUGGAUCCACGACCAAAAUUUUGUCCAGAGAAGAGGAAGAACACUAUUUUAAAAUUGAAAUACUUAAGAAUAACUUCAAGCCACCUCAUCUCUGAGUUAGAUAGAUGAAGUGAGGGCAUGGUAUAAAUAGUUUCUGGAGCACA
This is a long non-coding RNA of Pantherophis guttatus, 570 nucleotides long. RefSeq lists it as uncharacterized. Lineage: Eukaryota; Metazoa; Chordata; Lepidosauria; Squamata; Colubridae. The record is from RefSeq and is a predicted model, not a curated record.